RNAcentral lists this long non-coding RNA (259 nucleotides) under Physcomitrium patens. Its description in RNAcentral is "long non-coding RNA (PPAT_LNC007442)". The record is from RNAcentral. Lineage: Eukaryota; Viridiplantae; Streptophyta; Bryopsida; Funariales; Funariaceae.
AUUUUAUAUCUCGUCUCUACAGUGACUUCUGGUGCUUGAAAAGAAUCAAGUAUGGUAUAAACCUCUCUUGAAUGAAUCUCAACAAUCUUAUCAUUAUUCCCUAAUCCAAUAGAUGUAAUCAAUUCCAUUGAAUCUUCCAGUCCAUUUUCUUCAUAAACACCUAAAAUCCUCUCAUCAUCUUGCAAUGUACCUAACUUGUGUAAUUCUCUUUCAAUAUUAUAUAAUCUUUUUUUUUCUUCUCCUUUAAAAUCAUCAUUUU